UGCCUUUGAUUGAAAACCGCUGCGACGA
Molecule: non-coding RNA, 28 nt
Filed under: Bombyx mori (domestic silkworm)
Lineage: Eukaryota; Metazoa; Arthropoda; Insecta; Lepidoptera; Bombycidae
Source: RNAcentral